Molecule: long non-coding RNA, 822 nt
Organism: Benincasa hispida (wax gourd)
Lineage: Eukaryota; Viridiplantae; Streptophyta; Magnoliopsida; Cucurbitales; Cucurbitaceae
Source: RefSeq, a predicted model, not a curated record
UUUUAAUUGGGGCAGAAAAAGUUCACUUUGAGCUUCAUCUUUUUCCUCAUUUUUUUCUCUCAAGGAGAACUCAUUCACUUCACCGAAAUUAAAAAGCAAGCUCACGAAACUCCGCAGUGAUUCUCACCUUGAGAAUAACAAGGUAAUGUUGUGGUCAUGUCCUCCUUGCCAAGUUUGUGAUCUUGUUGUGGUGUUGUGUAGCUAUGAACGGGAGAAGUAAAGGAGAUAUGUUCAUGAACACUCAUUGGAGAGGAAACGUGAAGAACGACUCUUCAAGAUACUUGACGUUUUCACUCCGGAAUUCCAAAUCCCUUCACUAAGAUGGGUACUUCGAGACCACCUGGGGCAUAUUCGUAUAGCUGGUUUGAAGUUCGUCCCCCAUUGCAAGGAGAUGAAGAAUCUGAAAUUUAGAAAUCAGAUUGAAAUUUGCAAGGAUAUGCUCUAGGCUUGAGAGUAUUUCUUCUCUCUCGAUCGUGAAUAUAUUCGCUGAAUCUGACUAUUUGGAGAUUUUCAAUCUGAUAAUGAUGGAGCUAUUGAUUUUUCUAAAGUUCCUUUUCGUGUUGCUCAGACAAAGGAGCGUGGUGAUGCUUUAUGGAGUGGCUGCCUUCUCUUAUGUUUGUCGUUACCAAAAUGUGUUACCUCAUCAUGUUGCACAUAUAGCUUUUGAGGUUCAGGAGUCUAGUGUUAUCCAGUCUCCUUGUCCUAAGUGGUCUAUACUACUUUUAGCUCAAGAUGUAUUCUUUUAGUCUGUUUGGGUUCAUAUAACAAAAAAAAAAAAAAAAGUGAGAAAGAGACCGAAAGAAGAAACUUUAAUUUAAAUAA